RNAcentral lists this ribosomal RNA (442 nucleotides) under uncultured bacterium. RNAcentral describes it as "partial 16S ribosomal RNA". It matches the Rfam family "Bacterial small subunit ribosomal RNA", at positions 338 to 795 of the family's 1533-position model. The record is from RNAcentral.
CCUACGGGAGGCUGCAGUGGGGGAUAUUGCACAAUGGGGGAAACCCUGAUGCAGCGACGCCGCGUGGGCGAAGAAGUCUUUCGGUAUGUAAAGCCCUAUCAGCAGGGAAGAAGAAAUGACUGUACCUGAGUAAGAAGCACCGGCUAACUACGUGCCAGCAGCCGCGGUAACACGUAGGGGGCAAGCGUUAUCCGGAUUUACUGGGGGUAAAGGGAGCGCAGGCGGGACGGCAAGCCUGAUGUGAAAGCCCGGGGCCCAACCGCGGGACUGCAUUGGGAACUACCGGGCUGGAGUGCCGGAGAGGUAGGCGGAAUUCCUAGUGUAGCGGUGAAAUGCGUAGAUAUUAGGAGGAACACCAGUGGCGAAGGCGGCCUACUGGACGGUGACUGACGCUGAGGCGCGAAAGCGUGGGGAGCAAACAGGAUUAGAUACCCUUGUAGUC